UGGAAUGAGUAGCGAGAGAUAGGUGAGAAUCCUAUCGGCCGAAUAUCUAAGGUUUCCAGAGUAAAGCUGAUCUGCUCUGGGUAAGUCGGGGCCUAAGGCGAGGUCGAAAGACGUAGUCGAUGGAUAACAGGUUGAGAUACCUGUACUUCAUGAUAUCAGAAAUGUGGGGACACAGAAGCGAAGCACAAGCCGGGAAUGGAAAGACCGGUGCAAGCUAAGGAGCAGUAUGAGAGGCAAAUCCCUCAUAUAAUGCGAGAGAGUGAAGCGUAGCGAACAUAAGGGUAGCGAAGUGUGUAGAGAGGCUGUCAGGAAAAGCCGCUAUUGUGUAUCAUGAACCCGUACCGUAAACCGACACAGGUGGAUGAGGAGAGAAUCCUAAGGCCGACGGAAGAAGCAUUGUUAAGGAAUUCGGCAAAAUGACCCCGUAACUUCGGGAGAAGGGGUGCCUGCGCAAGCAGGUCGCAGAGAAUUGGCCCAAGCAACUGUUUAGCAAAAACACAGGUUUAUGCGAAACCGAAAGGUGAAGUAUAUGAGCUGACGCCUGCCCGGUGCUGGAAGGUUAAGGGGAGUGCUUAGACUUUAGUCGAAGGUGCGAACUUAAGCCCCAGUAAACGGCGGCCGUAACUAUAACGGUCCUAAGGUAGCGAAAUUCCUUGUCGGGUAAGUUCCGACCCGCACGAAAGGCGUAAUGAUUUGGGCGCUGUCUCGACAAUGCAUCCGGUGAAAUUGAAGUACCAGUGAAGAUGCUGGUUACCCGCGCCAGGACGGAAAGACCCCAUGGAGCUUUACUCUAGUUUGAUGCUGGGAUUCGAUACUGCAUGUACAGGAUAGGCGGGAGACUGAGAAGUAGUGACGUCAGUUGCUACAGAGUCGCUGUUGGGAUACCGCCCCUGCAGUAUUGGGUUUCUAACCUGCGGCCGUAAGCCGGUCGGGGGACAACGUCAGGCGGGGAGUUUGACUGGGGCGGUCGCCUCCGAAAGGGUAUCGGAGGCGCUCAAAGGUUCCCUCAGAAUGGUCGGAAACCAUUCGAAGAGUGCAAAGGCAGAAGGGAGCUUGACUGCGAGACCGACGGGUCGAGCAGGUACGAAAGUAGGACUUAGUGAUCCGGUGGUAUGAAAGUGGGAUUGCCAUCGCUCAACGGAUAAAAGCUACCCUGGGAUAACAGGCUUAUCACUCCCAAGAGUUCACAUCGACGGAGUGGUUUGGCACCUGGAUGUCGGCUCAUCGCAUCCUGGGGCUGUAGCAGGUCCCAAGGGUUGGGCUGUUCGCCCAUUAAAGCGGUACGCGAGCUGGGUUCAGAACGUCGUGAGACAGUUCGGUCCCUAUCCGGCGCGGGCGUAGGAUAUCUGAAAGGAGCUGGCCUUAGUACGAGAGGACCGGGCUGGACGAACCGCUGGUUCACCUGUUGUCAUACCAAUGGCAUAGCAGGGUAGCCAAGUUUGGAAGGGAUAAACGCUGAAGGCAUCUAAGCGUGAAGCCCCCUUUAAGAUAAGAUAUCCCUGGAGUAAUCCAGUAAGACCCCUUGAAGACGACGAGGUAGAUAGGGCAGAGGUGGAAGUGUGGUAACACAUGCAGCUGACUGUCACUAAUAGGUCGAGGGCUUGAUC
RNAcentral lists this ribosomal RNA (1607 nucleotides) under metagenome. RNAcentral's name for it is "bacterial LSU rRNA". It matches the Rfam family "Bacterial large subunit ribosomal RNA", at positions 1298 to 2925 of the family's 2925-position model. The record is from RNAcentral.